Oxyura jamaicensis (ruddy duck) is the source of this 459-nucleotide long non-coding RNA. RefSeq lists it as uncharacterized. Lineage: Eukaryota; Metazoa; Chordata; Aves; Anseriformes; Anatidae. The transcript is spliced from 3 exons. The record is from RefSeq and is a predicted model, not a curated record.
GGAGAGAAAUGAAACCCCUGUCAACUAGGAGGUAGUGUCCAUAAGGAACUGCAAGGGAAGUGGAGUCAAAGUGCUUGACAGCAGAGCGAGGAAAAAACUGAACUUCUUGGGAGAAUCUGAACUACAAAUGUCCUUUCUGCAUCUGAGUAUAAAGGAGGAUUGUCUCUGCCCAUCUUCCAGAAGCAAUAUGACCUAAGUCUGAAUUUUGGUUGGUCAUCAGUACUGAGAAGGCACAAAAAUCUCAGUUCUUGUUGUGGACUGCAAAAUUUCUGCAAAAGAUUCAAGUUAUGCUACAGCUGAAUAUGCAGACUGUAAUAAUGAAAAUCACAGAAGAUUAGUUGCAUAAGGAAAAAAGCAGGUCAAAAAGAAUCAGGUAUCAAGGCAUGGAAAUACCACAAUAUUUGCAUUGUUACUUUUAUAAAUGGAAAAAAUAGAGAGAGAGACUUAGUUUGUCUGUCU